RNAcentral lists this unclassified non-coding RNA (3829 nucleotides) under Bombyx mandarina (wild silkworm). RNAcentral's name for it is "protein phosphatase inhibitor 2-like, transcript variant X1". Lineage: Eukaryota; Metazoa; Arthropoda; Insecta; Lepidoptera; Bombycidae. The record is from RNAcentral.
GCUGUCAAAUAUUGAAGUUGAAAAAAUGAAAUUAGUUGAAGUCUGAAUUUUACCCGUAUGAAUUAUUACAUGUAAAAUGCCGAUAUAAACAAAAAUAAUGGCGCAAAAUUUACAGAAAAAACCCUCCAAGGGCAUAUUGAAGACGUCUCGUAGCGUCGAUGGCUCUGACGGAAUGCCAUCUUGCAGUAAGCGAGCGAAAGAACAGAGAUUUGAUGAAAUGAACAUUAUGGAGACUUUUCAUCCACCGAAUAAGGACUAUGGUCACAUGAAGGUAGAAGAACCUAAAACGCCUUUUUCGGAGACGGUAGACGGUGAUUUGGAACCAAAUGAUGAAUUAGAUGCUAAUCUACUCGCAGCUAAGUUAGCUGCCAGCAUGAACAAGCCGCCGAAGUGCGUGGAGUCCUGUGACGAUAGUGACGAGGACAUGGAGGAGCCGGAGGAAGUACGCCGAAAGCGUAUCGAGUUCGAGAAGAAAAGGAAAAUGCAUUACAAUGAAUUCCAGGCAUUACAACUGGCUCGACAGCUGAUGGCUCAAGAAGAUGACGAAGAUAAUGACGACAAAGCUGAGAAGUCUACCACCUGACUGCCAGAGAUGGCCCUCAUACUGCAAGAAACAUACAUUGGCUUCAAGCUGGUUUGGUAUUAAUACCACUAGAAGUUGAAAGAAAAGUGUUCAAAAUGGUUUGCAGAAUAAUUAGGUCGGAGGUCCAUUGAUUCUUAAUGGGAAAGAAAAUCUAUUCUUAUGAGUUACAUACCAAACUAAUUAAUUUAACUAAGAAAUAUUUUCAUUUUCCGUCACUUUACAUUUAAUUGGGUUUUGAAAUACUCAAACUAAACCGUUAUGUGUUUUAGUGUCUACAAAUGUGUGCUAAAAAUAAUUAUGCUGUUGAAAAUAUAAAGGAGGUUAUGAAAAAUAUUGAAUAAAAAAAAUCUCGUUGAGUUUAAAUCACUACCUACCACAAAACAAGUUCUUGAAAAUAUGACACAUAAAAAUUUUUGGCGCCAAUAUUUCGUUACUUCAAUCCCAAUAAUUUGACACUUGUCUUGUCAAUGUCCUGAUGUUACCUACCGUAAGUCUGUAAACCAUGGUUUGAUUCGAAGCUGACUUUAUUAUGACAUACAUAGAAUUAGUUCAAAUAUUUUAUAAAAAGCACUUGUAAUCAAUUUAUAAUUUGUCGUAAACGCAGAAAUUACAUGAUUUAUAUUUAAUAUAACUUUUUACUUAACAUUUCUAUUAAUUGUAGUGUAAGUUAUCCUUAGAUUUGCAUCACAUAACAAUGGUAUUUUCUAAUGCUUUUCUCCUUGUACUGGCUUCCAAAAUUUGGAAGUCUUAAUAGUAUAAUUUGAAAAAUGUAUUAUUGCAUUAUGUGCCAAGUACGUACAUAUUGUACGUCUUUAAUGAUUAAAAAGAAAACUAUUAUCUUCUAUUUUACUAUAUAAUUUUCUUUAAUAUUCAUUUGCAUAUCUAUGCAUUUAAUUAGUAUACUUUUUAAAUAUAUUUUACUUAAUUCGACAGAUUCAUGUAUAUUUACGAAAUUUUAUAAAAUGUUCAAAAUGUCAUUUUAAUUUGAACAAAAAAACUUGUAUUUAGUUUUAAUAUAUAAAUGCGUGUUUGUGAAUGCGUUUGAUGUAACAGUUUCAUAAUAUUAAAUCGAUAAGUUUCAGAAACAUGAUUGAUUGUAAUUAACCGUUUUAAACGGUAAAAAAUAAUUUAAGUCUCAUUGCCUUGGAUGCCUGCAACUAGAAAUAUUUAUAUAAUCAAAUUCAAUUAAUCUACUGCGUUUUAUAUGAAAUUAAAAAUAUUUGCAAGUGGAUUAUUGGGGUAGUUGAUUGGUACAUGAUAUACCUACUUAUUGAAACGUACGAUAUUUUGGAAAGAAAUUAUUUGAAAUCGACUAUCUUUAAAAAUCUCUGUAAUAGAAAGCAAAGUAUUGGCAGUACGUAAUGCAUUACGUAUUGUUCAUUUAAAACACUUAUCUACAGUACAUAGGAACGAGUUUAAUUUAGUAUUGUCCUACGCGUGUCUUAUGAGAAAUAAAAAUUGAAAUUUUGCUAUCGUGUUCACAUUUAGUAAAUUAUUAAUGUAUCUAUAAGAGAAUACAAAAUAUUAAAAUUUCAUUGAAUUUUUCGAGUUGCAGGGCAUAUCGUGACUGGGGUUUCUCUGCGUCAAAGUAUAAUCCGUUCCUGUCUGAAGAGUUGAUAACUCUUUUUUUUUAAAUGUAUGAAGUAUAAUUCGAUAUCUUUUCUCGAGAUGAGAAUCAGAAUUGCCAUUAUAGUGUCUAUGGUGGCCACGGUCUCGCUUAUUAUCAGACGGGCCACCAGCAAAAAUGGGCGUAUAGUUCUCAAUAUUACAAAUGCGUUCGACAUGGUCUUACAAUGUCAAUUCCUAAGUUUACUUAGGCAGCGGCUGUCAGUUUUUUUAAUGUUCGGACAUCAGUCGAGGUUGCCGCUUCGAUAUCUCACUACAAGGCUUGAUGGUUUACAUUUCGCUUUUGUUUUGAAAUGAUUGAUAGAGCAUCUUGCUGCUAUGAAGUUUUUCUCACACAGAAUUCGAAUUACAAAUACCCUCGUAUAAAUAACCUCGGCGAGUUGGCGAUGUUGGCGUCUCGUAUGCAGCUUUAAUGUGUCCCUGGCAUUGCCCAUGUCCAAGAACGACGGCGACCACUCACCAUCAGAUCAGCUCGUCUACCAUCGAAGCCUUUUAAAAAGUCCUUCACUAGAUCCUUUCAAAUUCAUCAAUUUCGGAAAAUUAUGCAAAUUACGCGGAAUAAAAAUAUUAGAAUUAUUUACUCUGCAAUUACUAAUCCGAGAGGCGUUUACGUAAUAGAUUCUCGUAUAAUUAGUCUUAACACUGAGAGGACGCUGAACGGACGAAAGCUCACGCGUUCUUGUUUCCAGGUAUUUCCUAAGCGAAACUUAUAGCAUGCGUAAAAUAUAAUUAAAUUCAAAAUAAGACUUAGAUCAGUGAACAUAUUCGAAUGAUGUUGAUCGAGAUCAUUAAUUCAUCUCUUAACAUGUGUCUCGAUUUUCAGAAUUGCCAGGUAAGUAAUACAAUUAUAUGUUUUUCGUGAUUAAAGUGGGUCAGACGAGGAAGGACAAAACUCAUUGUCUGAAAAGUUAAUGUAAACAACACGUUUUAUAUCAGUGCAGACUUUUAUCUCUUUGUAGAGUGAGCAGAAAAUAAAUAAAUUUGGUGUUGCAAGUAUCCAUUGCACGAAAAUGUUCAAAUAAAUUGAUUGUUACAUGUAUGUUGUUGUUAGAUGCUUCGUAAUUAAAUACAGGGCUUUCCUAGAGCGAUGCGAUACUUAUAUUCUAGAAGAAUUAAUUAUUUUAUAUUUAACCUAGUGGUUGUUGAAAAUAUAAUAUGUAAAUUGUAUAUUAGGUAACUAACAUUUUCCAUAGAAAAUUAUAUGAUAUUUCGGUUUCACAAUUCUGUGUUUGUUUCGCUUUGUAACACGAUUCGCAACAAUUUGUAUCUCCGCUUAUUAAAAUAAUUAUUUUUAUUAACAUGUUUGAGAAAUUUUCAUUAUUUUUCUCGAUUCCUCACUCGACAUCACUGGUUUUACUGGUUAAUUGUAGUCGUGCAUUCUGGUUUGAAGAUUGGAACAACCAAACAAUCGAGACUUCGCCCUUAACGCGGGUUACCGCAUUUACGUUGUGAUGUUUAUGGUCAACCUACGAAUGCCCGUGAGGGGUUUAUCCAUCAAUGCAAUUUAAAUAAUAAAACGUGAAAAUGUCGUAACUGUGUUUUUGUACAGAAUGUUGCUUUUAUUUUAGAUGCAUGUGUAAACUGUAAAUAACGAUGGAUUAAUAAAAUAAUAAAAAUAUU